Molecule: transfer RNA, 76 nt
Filed under: Planctomycetota bacterium
Lineage: Bacteria; Pseudomonadati; Planctomycetota
Description: tRNA-Val
Rfam family: tRNA
About the family: Transfer RNA (tRNA) molecules are approximately 80 nucleotides in length. Their secondary structure includes four short double-helical elements and three loops (D, anti-codon, and T loops). Further hydrogen bonds mediate the characteristic L-shaped molecular structure. tRNAs have two regions of fundamental functional importance: the anti-codon, which is responsible for specific mRNA codon recognition, and the 3' end, to which the tRNAs corresponding amino acid is attached (by aminoacyl-tRNA synthetases). tRNAs cope with the degeneracy of the genetic code in two manners: having more than one tRNA (with a specific anti-codon) for a particular amino acid; and 'wobble' base-pairing, i.e. permitting non-standard base-pairing at the 3rd anti-codon position.
Source: RNAcentral
GGGCAACUAACUCAAUCGGUAGAGUGCCAUGUUCACAGCGUGGAGGUUACAGGUUCGAAUCCUGUGUUGCCCACCA